Molecule: small RNA, 19 nt
Filed under: Arabidopsis thaliana (thale cress)
Lineage: Eukaryota; Viridiplantae; Streptophyta; Magnoliopsida; Brassicales; Brassicaceae
Description: ATSL211950
Source: RNAcentral
AGAAGAUGAAGAAGAAGAA